UCAAAACGUAGCUUAAGCAAAGCACCCGGCUUACACCCAGAAGAUUUCUUUUACCAGAACGUUUUGA
Molecule: transfer RNA, 67 nt
Filed under: Sundasciurus lowii (Low's squirrel)
Lineage: Eukaryota; Metazoa; Chordata; Mammalia; Rodentia; Sciuridae
Description: tRNA-Val
Rfam family: tRNA
About the family: Transfer RNA (tRNA) molecules are approximately 80 nucleotides in length. Their secondary structure includes four short double-helical elements and three loops (D, anti-codon, and T loops). Further hydrogen bonds mediate the characteristic L-shaped molecular structure. tRNAs have two regions of fundamental functional importance: the anti-codon, which is responsible for specific mRNA codon recognition, and the 3' end, to which the tRNAs corresponding amino acid is attached (by aminoacyl-tRNA synthetases). tRNAs cope with the degeneracy of the genetic code in two manners: having more than one tRNA (with a specific anti-codon) for a particular amino acid; and 'wobble' base-pairing, i.e. permitting non-standard base-pairing at the 3rd anti-codon position.
Source: RNAcentral